AGAGAAAGGACACUGCCCUCUCUGAGGUGGGCACCAGCAAGCCCACUGGGGACUGGCCCUCUAGGCUGGGGACCCCUCCAGUGAGCUGGGCAGGCAGGAGGCUUCCAUCCCAUUCUGACUCUCUACAGGGUCCCCACCCCCACAGGCAUACCAGAGGGGCCGGUGACCGCUGGGCAUCCGGUUCCCGAGUAUGGAUGUGGUGGCACCAUGAGAAGCGUGCAGGCUGCCCACCCACUAUCCCCAGACCAAACACCACAGAGAGGACUGCAGAGGAAGUCACUCACCUUGCCCCCAAUCAUAACAGUCCUGGGCACAAAAGCCUUGGCCGGGUCUCUCUUGAUUCCUGCAGGACACACGGAAGAGACUCACACAAGGCACCGCGAGCCGGACGAGCCCCUGCUGGGGCCCAGCAGCAUCAGAGGCCGACCCUGAGGCAGGACAGGCACGCUCCGCCAUGUACUUCAAGCCCCAGAGACACGGGUGACAGUGGCACAGGGCCACUGGCCACCCACCUGCCCACCCACCAGGAACCUGCCACUUACAAGGGAGUGAGGCCACCCUGAGGUCUGCACUUAGGUUCCCCGCUGGUGAGGAAGGCCAGCCAGGACCAUGGACGAACCCAGCAGCUGACUCGAGCAAAGAUGCUAUUCCCCGGGGCUCAGAGGAAAAGCUGCACCUCAGUUUCCAGAAAAGCCCAACACAGGAGCCUCCUUGGGUCUGGUCACCAGUGUUCAAGGCCCCUGUACAUGAAGGGCACACUUGUGGGUUUUGUUUGGUUUUGUUUCUUGAGACAGCAGCUCACUCUGUCGCCCAGGCUGGAGUGCGGUGGUGUAAGCGUAGCUCACUGCAGCCU
This 853-nucleotide long non-coding RNA is filed under the name Homo sapiens (human). Its description in RNAcentral is "non-protein coding lnc-ABHD12-2:1". Lineage: Eukaryota; Metazoa; Chordata; Mammalia; Primates; Hominidae. The record is from RNAcentral.